GAUGAACGCUGGCGGCGUGCUUAACACAUGCAAGUCGAACGGAAAGGCCCUGCUUUUGUGGGGUGCUCGAGUGGCGAACGGGUGAGUAACACGUGAGUAACCUGCCCUUGACUUUGGGAUAACUCCAGGAAACUGGGGCUAAUACCGGAUAGGAGCUCCUGCUGCAUGGUGGGGGUUGGAAAGUUUCGGUGGUUGGGGAUGGACUCGCGGCUUACCAGCUUGUUGGUGGGGUAGUGGCUUACCAAGGCUGCGACGGGUAGCCGGCCUGGGAGGGUGACCGGCCACAUGGGGACUGAGAUACGGCCCAGACUCCUACGGGAGGCAGCAGUGGGGAAUAUUGCAGAGUGGGCGGAAGCCUGAUGCAGCGACGCCGCGUGCGGGAUGACGGCCUUCGGGUUGUGAACCGCUUUCGCCGGUGACGAAGCGUGAGUGACGGUAAUUGGUAAAGAAGCACCGGCUAACUACGUG
RNAcentral lists this ribosomal RNA (468 nucleotides) under uncultured bacterium. RNAcentral's name for it is "partial 16S ribosomal RNA". It matches the Rfam family "Bacterial small subunit ribosomal RNA", at positions 28 to 507 of the family's 1533-position model. The record is from RNAcentral.